CGUAGGUGGCGAGCGUUGUCCGGAUUUACUGGGCGUAAAGAGCGCGCAGGCGGUCGUACAAGUCGCGUGUGAAAGCCCCCGGCUCAACUGGGGAGGGUCACGCGAUACUGUUCGACUCGAAGGCAGGAGAGGGAAGCGGAAUUCCCGGUGUAGUGGUGAAAUGCGUAGAUAUCGGGAGGAACACCAGUGGCGAAGGCGACUUCCUGGCCUGUUCUUGACGCUGAGGCGCGAAAGCUAGGGUAGCAAACGGGAUUAGAUACCCCGGUAGUCCUAGCCGUAAACGAUGGACACUAGGUGUUGGUGGUAUCAACCCCGCCAGUGCCGAAGCUAACGCAUUAAGUGUCCCGCCUGGGGAGUACGGCCGCAAGGCUA
RNAcentral lists this ribosomal RNA (372 nucleotides) under uncultured organism. RNAcentral describes it as "bacterial SSU rRNA". It matches the Rfam family "Bacterial small subunit ribosomal RNA", at positions 526 to 896 of the family's 1533-position model. The record is from RNAcentral.